Molecule: long non-coding RNA, 565 nt
Filed under: Homo sapiens (human)
Lineage: Eukaryota; Metazoa; Chordata; Mammalia; Primates; Hominidae
Description: non-protein coding lnc-TIGD7-1:3
Source: RNAcentral
ACGGAAAAUGGCUGCCUCCCUGCGGCCGCCGCCGCUCCAGCGGCUCCAGGGUCGAAGCCAUAGGGGAAGCCGCUUCUCGGUUACCUCGGCCAGCUUGGCUUCCGUGGAGGCCGCUCCUCGCUUUCUGAGGCUCAAACGCAAGCCACCGCCCGAAAGGCCGCCGAUCUGAGGAGCGCAACCGCCAGCCCACCGCUGGCCUACCGCAGCCCUGUCCAGAGAAACGGAGACCUAAGAAGUGACUUGCUCAGGGUCACAUAGCUCAGCAGUGGCGGCCGCUAAUCGGAAAUAGCUCUCCUGUUGUGGUAUCCUCUGCGUUUUCCACUCCAGUAUUCUUCCCUGGAAAAUGGGAACCUUGUUUUCAUCUUAUAUCUCAUGCAGCGCCUAACAUAGUCACCUGCACCUGGAAUGGAUAAAAGUGGCAGUUUUUGUUUCUUCCCAUGAGGUUGUGUAUCUGGACUGAGAACCAGGAAAUUAAUCUAGACUAAGACAUUUCUAAGGACCUGGAAUGGCUUUGGGGAGCACCAGGAGGACCCGAAAAGAGUAUUUGAGGGCCUAGAGGGACAGA